GAUGAACGCUGGCGGCGUGCCUAAUACAUGCAAGUCGAACGAAAAGACGAUAAGAUCGCGCGCUUGACGUUAGCGACAGAGGGGUGAGUGACGAAUGGGUGAGCAACAUGUGAGCCUGGGGUCACAACGAGGGGCAUAACACAAGAACACAGGAUAUAUUACACCAUAACGAUCAAUAGUGCAUGGAAACUAUGUAAACGGUGGUAGUAGGACCCGCGUCGCAUUAGCUAGUUGGUAAGGUAACGGCUUACCAAGGCAACGAUGCGUAGCCGACUUGAGAGGGUGAUCGGCCACACUGGAACUGAGACACGGCCCAGACUCCUACGGGAGGCAGCAGUAGGGAAUCUUCCACAAUGGGCGAAAGCCUGAUGGAGCAACGCCGCGUGAGUGAAGAAGGUCUUCGGAUCGUAAAACUCUGUUGUUAGGGAAGAAAAAGCGUGUGAGUAACUGUGCACGUCUUGACGGUACCUAAUCAGAAAGCCACGGCUAACUACGUG
RNAcentral lists this ribosomal RNA (497 nucleotides) under uncultured bacterium. Its description in RNAcentral is "partial 16S ribosomal RNA". It matches the Rfam family "Bacterial small subunit ribosomal RNA", at positions 28 to 507 of the family's 1533-position model. The record is from RNAcentral.